This 988-nucleotide small RNA is filed under the name uncultured Mycobacterium sp. Its description in RNAcentral is "bacterial SSU rRNA". The stretch from base 1 to 475 matches the Rfam family "Bacterial small subunit ribosomal RNA", at positions 1064 to 1533 of the family's 1533-position model. The record is from RNAcentral. Lineage: Bacteria; Bacillati; Actinomycetota; Actinomycetes; Mycobacteriales; Mycobacteriaceae.
GUCGUGAGAUGUUGGGUUAAGUCCCGCAACGAGCGCAACCCUUGUCUCAUGUUGCCAGCGCGUUAUGGCGGGGACUCGUGAGAGACUGCCGGGGUCAACUCGGAGGAAGGUGGGGAUGACGUCAAGUCAUCAUGCCCCUUAUGUCCAGGGCUUCACACAUGCUACAAUGGCCGGUACAAAGGGCUGCGAUGCCGUGAGGUGGAGCGAAUCCUUUCAAAGCCGGUCUCAGUUCGGAUCGGGGUCUGCAACUCGACCCCGUGAAGUCGGAGUCGCUAGUAAUCGCAGAUCAGCAACGCUGCGGUGAAUACGUUCCCGGGCCUUGUACACACCGCCCGUCACGUCAUGAAAGUCGGUAACACCCGAAGCCGGUGGCCUAACCCCUUGUGGGAGGGAGCCGUCGAAGGUGGGAUCGGCGAUUGGGACGAAGUCGUAACAAGGUAGCCGUACCGGAAGGUGCGGCUGGAUCACCUCCUUUCUAAGGAGCACCAAUUCAUUCCCCCGUGCCUCACAUGUGUGAGGGGUUCGCGGUUGGGAUAUCAGUGCCGGGCCCUGUAGUGGGUGUCCGGUCGGUGCACGACAAGCGUUGAUCGGUGGGGAAACACCGGUUGAGAUUAAUCAUCAGACACACUAUUGGGCUUUGAGACAACAGGCCCGUCACCUCUUCGCCCUGUAGUUGGGGGAACCGGGGGUGAUACCGCUCUUUCGGGGGUGGGUUUGGUUGUUGCUCCGCUUUGGUGGUGGGGUGUGGUGUUUGAUUUGUGGAUAGUGGUUGCGAGCAUCUGGCACGCGUGUGGCGCCGGCCCUUUGUGGGGGUUGGUGUUUUCGUGUGUGUUGAUGUGCAAUUUCAAAGUUUUGUAUAACUUUUGGUUUUGUGUUGUAAGUGUUUAAGGGCGCAUGGUGGAUGCCUUGGCACUGGGAGCCGAUGAAGGACGUGGGAGGCUGCGUUAUGCCUCGGGGAGCUGUCAACCGAGCGUGGAUCCGAGGAUGU